GACGAACGCUGGCGGCGUGCUUAACACAUGCAAGUCGAACGGAAAGGCCCUGCUUUUGUGGGGUGCUCGAGUGGCGAAAGGGUGUGUAACACGUGAGUAACCUCUCCUUUACUUUGGGAUAACUUCAUGAAACUGGGGCUAAUACCGGAUAGGAGCUCCUGCUGCAUGGUGUGGGUUGUAAAGUUUCGGCGGUUGGGGAUGUACGCGCGGCUCAUCAGCUUGUUGGUGGGGUAGUGGCUUACCAAGGCUCUGACGGGUAGCCGGCCUGCGAGGGUGACCGGCCACAUUGGGACUGAGAGGCGGCCCGGACGGCUACGGGAGGCAGCGGUGGAGAAUAGUGCACAAUGGGCGGAGGCAUGAUGGAAGAACGCCGCGUGGUGGAUGACGGCUGUCAGGGUGGAAAGCGCUUUCGCCUGUGACGAAGAGUGAGUGACGGUAAUGGGUAAAGAAGCACCGGCUAACUACGUG
This 468-nucleotide ribosomal RNA is filed under the name uncultured bacterium. Its description in RNAcentral is "partial 16S ribosomal RNA". It matches the Rfam family "Bacterial small subunit ribosomal RNA", at positions 28 to 507 of the family's 1533-position model. The record is from RNAcentral.